UCAGAGAAUAACAUAGGGUUGUUUGUUUCACCUCCCUGAGGCUGAUCACUGAAGAUCACAGCUUCUGUGAGCUACAGACACUCUUUCCCUUUGCCUCUUCAAGCCAAAGCAGGAUCACUCGCUCUGCUAUGUCACGAGCAGCCCUAUGGAAGGGCCCUGUAGCAAGGGACACAAACCUCCAGUCAACAGCCAUGAGAGUUGAAAGGAACUGUACUCAGGGACCUGUACUUAAGGACUAUACCCAAGGAGCUUCAUCCAUACCAGGAACUGAUUUAGAUUCUGGAGUUUGAGCUAAUGCAUUAGACCUUGUGGACCUUGGGAGUGGUGGCAAGGAACAGAGUCCUCCAGCCAAGAGCCACGUGAGUCAGCUUGCUUGGAAGUCGAUCCCUCAGUUCCGGCCAUGUCUUCAGAUGACUACAGUCCUAGCUGUCAGCUUGAUUGGUCAUCAUGAGGGACCCUGAGCCAGAAUCACCCAGCUAAGCUGCUCCUGAAUUCCUGACUCUCAGAAAUUGUGUGAGAUAAUAAAUGUUUUCUUAGACCACUUCAUUUUGGGGUAAAUUUGUUAUGCAGCCACAACUAAUAUAGUAGCAAAGAAAAUGUUGCUUUGUAGCAUUUGUCUAAAUAAGUUCAAAUAUGAGGGAUUUAGUGAGCAUACCAAUUCCUGAUAAUCAUGGCAAAUUAUUGCCACUUAAGCUGCAUGGAACGAGUUGGUGA
Molecule: long non-coding RNA, 714 nt
Organism: Balaenoptera acutorostrata (minke whale)
Lineage: Eukaryota; Metazoa; Chordata; Mammalia; Artiodactyla; Balaenopteridae
Exons: 4
Source: RefSeq, a predicted model, not a curated record